RNAcentral lists this transfer RNA (74 nucleotides) under Stegodyphus mimosarum. It matches the Rfam family "tRNA". From Rfam's summary of the family: Transfer RNA (tRNA) molecules are approximately 80 nucleotides in length. Lineage: Eukaryota; Metazoa; Arthropoda; Arachnida; Araneae; Eresidae. The record is from Rfam by way of RNAcentral.
GCCUUCGUGGUGUAGCUGGUCAGCACGCUCGACGCGUAACCGAGAGUUCUGUGGUUCGAUUCCCGGCGAAGGCG